UACGGGGGGGGCAAGCGUUGUUCGGAAUUACUGGGCGUAAAGGGCUCGUAGGUGGCCAACUAAGUCAGACGUGAAAUCCCUCGGCUUAACCGGGGAACUGCGUCUGAUACUGGAUGGCUUGAGUGUGGGAGAGGGAUGCGGAAUUCCUGGUGUAGCGGUGAAAUGCGUAGAUACCAGGAGGAACACCGGUGGCGAAGGCGGUUUCCUGGCCGAGUACUGACGCUGAGGCACGAAAGCGUGGGGAGCGAACGGG
RNAcentral lists this ribosomal RNA (253 nucleotides) under uncultured bacterium. RNAcentral describes it as "partial 16S ribosomal RNA". It matches the Rfam family "Bacterial small subunit ribosomal RNA", at positions 524 to 776 of the family's 1533-position model. The record is from RNAcentral.